GCGGUCUUAGUAUAGAGGUUAGUAUUUCUGGCUUCCAACCAGAGGGCACGGGUUCGACUCCCGUAGACCGCUCCA
RNAcentral lists this transfer RNA (75 nucleotides) under Bacillus phage P59. RNAcentral's name for it is "tRNA-Gly". It matches the Rfam family "tRNA". From Rfam's summary of the family: Transfer RNA (tRNA) molecules are approximately 80 nucleotides in length. Their secondary structure includes four short double-helical elements and three loops (D, anti-codon, and T loops). Lineage: Duplodnaviria; Heunggongvirae; Uroviricota; Caudoviricetes; Herelleviridae. The record is from RNAcentral.